GAUCCUGGCUCAGGACGAACGCUGGCGGCGCGCCUAACACAUGCAAGUCGAACGAGAGAGAGGAAGCUUGCUUCCUCAAUCGAGUGGCGAACGGGUGAGUAACGCGUGAGGAACUUACCUCAAAGAGGGGGACAACAGUUGGAAACGACUGCUAAUACCGCAUAAGCCCACAGGUCAGCAUCGACCAGAGGGAAAAGGAGCAAUCCGCUUUGAGAUGGCCUCGCGUCCGAUUAGCUAGUUGG
This 242-nucleotide ribosomal RNA is filed under the name uncultured bacterium. Its description in RNAcentral is "partial 16S ribosomal RNA". It matches the Rfam family "Bacterial small subunit ribosomal RNA", at positions 15 to 252 of the family's 1533-position model. The record is from RNAcentral.